This 253-nucleotide ribosomal RNA is filed under the name uncultured bacterium. RNAcentral describes it as "partial 16S ribosomal RNA". It matches the Rfam family "Bacterial small subunit ribosomal RNA", at positions 524 to 776 of the family's 1533-position model. The record is from RNAcentral.
UACGGAGGGAGCUAGCGUUGUUCGGAAUUACUGGGCGUAAAGCGCACGUAGGCGGCUCAGCAAGUCAGGGGUGAAAUCCCGGGGCUCAACCCCGGAACUGCCCUUGAAACUGCUAAGCUAGAAUCUUGGAGAGGCGAGUGGAAUUCCGAGUGUAGAGGUGAAAUUCGUAGAUAUUCGGAAGAACACCAGUGGCGAAGGCGACUCGCUGGACAAGUAUUGACGCUGAGGUGCGAAAGCGUGGGGAGCGAACAGG